RNAcentral lists this unclassified non-coding RNA (165 nucleotides) under uncultured Sordariomycetes. RNAcentral's name for it is "sequence contains ITS1". Lineage: Eukaryota; Fungi; Ascomycota; Sordariomycetes. The record is from RNAcentral.
CUGAGUUUACUGCUCAUAACCCAUUGUGAACCUACCUAUAUCGUUGCUUCGGCGGGCGCGUCCUCCCCUGUGGAGGGCGCCCCGGGCCCGAGAGGGUGCCCGCCGGAGGUUUUAACUCUUGUUUUUGGCGAUGUCUCUUCUGAGUGGCACAAGCAAAAUAUAUCA